Nothoprocta perdicaria is the source of this 742-nucleotide long non-coding RNA. RefSeq lists it as uncharacterized. The transcript has 4 exons. The record is from RefSeq and is a predicted model, not a curated record. NCBI's taxonomy places the organism in Eukaryota, Metazoa, Chordata, Aves, Tinamiformes, Tinamidae.
CUGCCUGGUUGCUUCUCCUUCUUCUUUUCUUUUCUCUGACCCUCUGGCUCCUGACUGCACUUCCAGGAGAGACUCCGGACCAGGUUCAUCGCUUGCCCUUCCUUGGGCUGUAACCGGCUCUGGAUUGUGCCCUUAUGGGUGAGAUCUGCCCUGUGCUGAGGACAUCCUCUGCUCCUGGCCCCUGUUCCCUGGGGAGCAGCCAGACUUUGCACUGUGCUCACAGGAGCUGAGAAGCUCUCUGUUGGAAUUACCUGAGAAGUGGAAGGAUCUUCAAAAGAUUGCCUUCGCUGUAAAGCGUGAAGUGGCGCCUCCGCAGCCCAAUGGAGUGUCUGUUAUCAGAAGCAAACGUGUACUUUUGGAGUAACCAGGAAGUUGGCCAGCUGCCUUUCACAUGGGGUUCAGAAGUCAGACUGAGAUGCAUGUGCUAGACUGCCAAAAUCCAACCAGGACAGCACUGCAGAACCAUGGACACCAGCUACCUGUGCCAAACAUGCUUCUGAAGGGAUGCCACCAGUUGACAGAGGGAUGGAAUCAAUUUCAUCUUGAUGUCGUUGACAGCAAAUGUAAUUCUGACACUGCUGAGAUUAGCGAAAGGUUGACGUGGACUUCAGUGUGGUGAAGAUUUCAAUACACAGUAAUUUGAAGGAGUUUUUAAGAGUCACUUAAAGACGCACUUCCUCAGAUAAAAAGAAGGCCAACAACAACUCACAAAGUCUAAGUCAGUGCUUUGGAUCACUGACUU